AGCGAACGCUGGCGGCAGGCCUAACACAUGCAAGUCGAACGAACCUUUCGGGGUUAGUGGCGGACGGGUGAGUAACACGUGGGAACGUGCCUUUAGGUUCGGAAUAACUCAGGGAAACUUGUGCUAAUACCGAAUGUGCCCUUCGGGGGAAAGAUUUAUCGCCUUUAGAGCGGCCCGCGUCUGAUUAGCUAGUUGGUUGAGGUAAUGGCUCACCAAGGCGACGAUCAGUAGCUGGUCUGAGAGGAUGAUCAGCCACAUUGGGACUGAGACACGGCCCAAACUCCUACGGGAGGCAGCAGUGGGGAAUCUUGCGCAAUGGGCGAAAGCCUGACGCAGCCAUGCCGCGUGAAUGAUGAAGGUCUUAGGAUUGUAAAAUUCUUUCACCGGGGACGAUAUGACGGUACCCGGAGAAGAAGCCCCGGCUAACUUCGUG
RNAcentral lists this ribosomal RNA (433 nucleotides) under uncultured bacterium. RNAcentral describes it as "partial 16S ribosomal RNA". It matches the Rfam family "Bacterial small subunit ribosomal RNA", at positions 29 to 507 of the family's 1533-position model. The record is from RNAcentral.